CAGUACUGCGGUGCUUUGUUUUUCAAACUCGUCAACAUCGACCUGAGGUGAAAUAUAUUUUGUGAAAAUUGCAUCAUCUGUCAUCAUUUCGUAAUUUUCAGUUGAAGUGGACUUUGUCGUUUCUGUUUCAACUGGCAAAUAUUCAGUUACAUUUUCAUGAAUAUUCACAUUUGUUUCAGGUGCAUUCGUUGGAGAAAUUGUUUCGUGUUUUUCUGAUGCUGCAAAUUCGUUUGCCGUCUCCAAAAUGGAUGUUGUUAGCUGCUGGUUCAAAUCUAGCAUAUUUUCGGUCGUAAAGUCUUCAUUUGCUUCAUCUGCACUGGACUUGGUACCCUCAGUUUGAAUCACCGUAGAUACAGGAACAAUAUUCGCAUCUGUUGUUGCAGUAUCAGUGGGGCUUUCGUUCGAUUCAGCAGUCAUUUGAGCAUCAUCCACUGUUUCCGUAACACCGACCAAGGUUCUUUCAGGUAUGUUUGUCAUUUUUGUAUUGCUUUCUUGAAUAUGUUGUUCAUUUUCUGCAUUACUGGGUUCUGGUAUAUUUGUAACAUCUUGGACAAAAGUAGUUGUUUCAUAUUCGGUUAGAUUGAAAAAUUGUUCCGAUUCAUAAGUUGCAUUUGUUUGUAUAUUACCUUCCAAAAUAGCUUCUUUUUCUUCAUCAGAUUGCAUGUCAUUUUCUAGUUGUAUAGUGGUUGCGGCAAUUAUCGUUGUAGUGGUGUUGACGUGCAAAUCACUCGUCUGACUUGAGUGUAGGGGCGAAAGACUAAUCGAACCAUCUAGUUGCUGGUUCCUUCCGAAGUUUCCCUCAGGAUAGCUGGCAUUUGUUUGUAACAAUUUUAUCCGGUAGAGCGAAUGAUUAGAGGUGUUGGGAACGCAAUGUUCUCAGCCUAUUCUCAAACUUCGAAUGGGUAAGCAAGGCGUUUUGCUUUGAUUUUACGAUGAAAUCGCCCAAUUAGAAUGCAUAAAUGCCUAGUGGGCCAAUUUUGGUAAGCAGAACUGGCGAUGUGGAAUGAACCAAAAGUCAGGUUAAGGUGCCAGACAUUGGCGCUCAUGAAAUACCAGAAAAGGUGUUGGUCGAUAUAGACAGCAGGACGGUGGCCAUGGAAGUUGGAAUCCGCCAAGGAGUGUGUAACAACUCACCUGCCGAAUCGACUAGCCCUGAAAAUGGAUAGCGUUUGAGCGCCAGGCCCAUACCUGACCGUCUCAAUUACGCACUUUUUUUCGGAAAAGGUGUAAUGAACGUUGAGACGGGUAGGAAGGUCGCGACAGUGUUGCUUUGAAGAGUUUUGAGCGUGAGCUCGCUCGGAGCCGCUGUUGGUGCAGAUCUUGGUGGUAGUAGCAAAUAUUCAAGUGAGAACCUUGAAGGCUGAAGUGGAGCAAGGUUCCAUGUGAACAGCAGUUGGACAUGGGUCAGUCGAUCCUAAGAAAACGGCGAAAGCUUGUUCGAAUUUGCGACAUGAAUUGUAAGACUGUGUGUGUUUAUUGUGUGUGCAGUUGUCGUAUGUUUUCGAAAGGGAAUCCGGUUGAUAUUCCGGAACCGAGUAACGGAGACAAAGAGUAGCGCUUUAAUCUCUCUGUGGGGUUGGCGUUCAACUCAAUCGCGCGGUAACGCAAGCGAACUCGGAAAAUGACCGUCGUGAGUUUCGAAAAGAGUUUUCUUUUCUUUUUAAGGGACGCAUUCCCUGGAACCGGGUUGUCCGGAGAUAGGGAUUCUGGUAUCCAUAAAACGCCGACUUUUUCACGGUGUUCGGAGCGCUCUCGUCGGUACGUGAAAAUCCGAGCGACGCCUGGUAAAUCUCGUACUUGGUCGUACUGAUAUCCGCAGCAGGUCUCCAAGGUGAAUAGCCUCUGGCCGAUAGAAUAAUGUAGGUAAGGGAAGUCGGCAAAACGGAUCCGUAACUUCGGAACAAGGAUUGGCUCUAAGGGCUGGGCCGAUCGGGCUGAGGUUUCAAGCGUGCAGUGUAUGCUUGGCUGAGUUGUGUUGAGGACUUGUUCACUUGCCGCCGUUUGUUCGGUUGGUCUAGUGUAUUCGAGUCUGAAGCAGAGCUGGCCGACAGACCGGCACGUGCAGAACCUGAGCUGCGCGGCUGUCCGUUUACGUGUACAGACCGUUUCGGUCGCCAUCCAACAGCCAACUUAGAACUGGCACGGACACAAGGAAUCUGACUGUAUAAUUAAAACAAAGCAUUGCGAUGGCCGAUGAUCGGUGAUGACGCAAUGUGAUUUCUGCCCAGUGCUCUGAAUGUCAAAGUGAAGAAAUUCAAUCAAGCGCGGGUAAACGGCGGGAGUAACUAUGACUCUCUUAAGGUAGCCAAAUGCCUCGUCAUCUAAUUAGUGACGCGUAUGAAUGGAUCAACAAGAUUCCUUCUGUCCCUAUCUACUAUCUAGCGAAACCACAGCCAAGGGAACGGGCUUGGCAAAAUCAGCGGGGAAAGAAGACCCUGUUGAGCUUGACUCUAGUCUGACUCUGUGAAGAGACAUGAAAGGUGUAGCAUAGGUGGGAGAUUGUCAAAUUGCCAUCGUUCGCGCGGUGGUCCGGUGAUCGCCAAUGAAAUACCACUACUUUGAUCGUUUCUUUACUUAUUCGGUAAAGCGAAAAAAUUGUGGCCAAUUUGGCGGUGUUUAUGUCGCUGUUGGUCAUUGUUUUCAUGUUAGAUUGAAGCUUUGUUUACAGCCGUCGCUUUGUGUCGCCAUUUGACGCAUUGUUGUACUGGGUUAUCCCGGUGUGUGGUGUAGUCAGUAUGGAUGAUCGGCGAUAGGUUUGAAGUGAUUCGCUCCGGAAACAGUGUCAGACGGGGAGUUUGACUGGGGCGGUACAUCUGUUAAACGAUAACGCAGGUGUCCUAAGGUAAGCUCAGCGAGGACAGAAACCUCGCUUAGAGUAAACGGGCACAAGCUUACUUGAUUUUGAUUUCCAGUACGAAUAGAAACCGCGAAAGCGUGGCCUAUCGAUCCUUUUGAUUGUGUAGAUUUCAUGCAAGAGGUGUCAGAAAAGUUACCACAGGGAUAACUGGCUUGUGGCAGCCAAGCGUCCAUAGCGACGUUGCUUUUUGAUCCUUCGAUGUCGGCUCUUCCUAUCAUUGCGAAGCAGAAUUCGCCAAGCGUUGGAUUGUUCACCCACCAAUAGGGAACGUGAGCUGGGAUUAGACCGUCGUGAGACAGGUUAGUUUUACCCUACUGAUGACAAGUCGUUGCGAUAGUAAUCCUGCUCAGUACGAGAGGAACCGCGGGAUCAGACAUUUGGUUCAUGCGCUCGGCUGAAAGGCCGGUGGCGCGAAGCUAGCAUCUGCAAGAUUAUGACUGAACGCCUCUAAGUCAGAAUCUUUUCUAGUCAUUGGCAACGAUAAGUUGCGUCCAGACUCGAU
RNAcentral lists this ribosomal RNA (3359 nucleotides) under Trichinella sp. T8. Its description in RNAcentral is "eukaryotic LSU rRNA". It matches the Rfam family "Eukaryotic large subunit ribosomal RNA", at positions 486 to 3181 of the family's 3401-position model. The record is from RNAcentral. Lineage: Eukaryota; Metazoa; Nematoda; Enoplea; Trichinellida; Trichinellidae.